This 86-nucleotide ribosomal RNA is filed under the name Limosilactobacillus reuteri. RNAcentral's name for it is "Lactobacillus reuteri partial 23S ribosomal RNA". It matches the Rfam family "Bacterial large subunit ribosomal RNA", at positions 2840 to 2925 of the family's 2925-position model. Lineage: Bacteria; Bacillati; Bacillota; Bacilli; Lactobacillales; Lactobacillaceae. The record is from RNAcentral.
AUAGAUGAUGAGGUAGAUAGGAUGGAAGUGGAAGUGCCGUGAGGCAUGGAGCGGACCAUUACUAAUCGGUCGAGGACUUAACCAAG